GAUGAACGCUGGCGGCGUGCCUAACACAUGCAAGUCGAGCGAAGCGCUUAAAUUAGCUUUCUUCGGAAUGACGAUUUUUGUGACUGAGCGGCGGACGGGUGAGUAACGCGUGGGUAACCUGCCUCAUACAGGGGGAUAACAGUUAGAAAUGACUGCUAAUACCGCAUAAGACCCCAGCUUCGCAUGAAGCGGUGGUAAAAACUCCGGUGGUAUGAGAUGGACCCGCGUCUGAUUAGCUAGUUGGUAAGGUAACGGCUUACCAAGGCGACGAUCAGUAGCCGACCUGAGAGGGUGACCGGCCACAUUGGGACUGAGACACGGCCCAGACUCCUACGGGAGGCAGCAGUGGGGAAUAUUGCACAAUGGGGGAAACCCUGAUGCAGCGACGCCGCGUGAAGGAUGAAGUAUUUCGGUAUGUAAACUUCUAUCAGCAGGGAAGAAAGUGACGGUACCUGACUAAGAAGCCCCGGCUAACUACGUG
Molecule: ribosomal RNA, 481 nt
Filed under: uncultured bacterium
Lineage: Bacteria
Description: partial 16S ribosomal RNA
Rfam family: Bacterial small subunit ribosomal RNA
Source: RNAcentral